AAGAUGGACACUUCUCAGGUCUAGUUGUUGCAUGGUGUGUUCCUGACCACAGCUGUGCCCAAGGAGUCUCACAGAUUCCUCAGGAGGCAACAGGACGUUUAUCAACGAAGAUGUGAGAAACCCAUGCCGGGCCUUUGACGCUCAUCCUGACUCCUGAUUGAUGAAUUAUUUGGUCGACUGAGGCAGAAUCACCUUUACUGGAGCAUAAUCUGUUGGAGGCAGCAUCUCCUGAAGUCUCCAUGAGUUGCUGGAAUGAAGAUGCAAGAGGAAAUUUGGAGAUGUUGCUUGAAAGUUUAAGUAUUGGUGUUACCAAACCAUUAGAAUAUUACAUAUGGACAACACCCAUCCAUUAGAAUAUUACGUAUGGACAACAUGGUGGAACAUUUCGAAUAAGGUUUGUCCCACAAAAUCCAAUAUAAAUGUUUGCUUUUGUCCUUUUUAAUGAUAUUGCAUUUGAAUUAUACUGAGUACAUUAUGACAUAUGAAGCUCUCAGACUGUAGGAUGGGAACAGCCAGACUUUAUGCAGUGCAG
Molecule: long non-coding RNA, 532 nt
Organism: Pan paniscus (pygmy chimpanzee)
Lineage: Eukaryota; Metazoa; Chordata; Mammalia; Primates; Hominidae
Source: Ensembl